Hemicordylus capensis (graceful crag lizard) is the source of this 930-nucleotide long non-coding RNA. RefSeq lists it as uncharacterized. The transcript has 6 exons. NCBI's taxonomy places the organism in Eukaryota, Metazoa, Chordata, Lepidosauria, Squamata, Cordylidae. The record is from RefSeq and is a predicted model, not a curated record.
CGACUCUCCAGCGGUUAAGGAGUGUGGGCGCAUGUCUGCUCUCACCGGAGAGGAUAUAUGUGCCAGUUUUCUUCUUUGGAUGUUUACUGUCAUCAUGGCAGGUGGAAUCCCAGGCUCGUCCACAUCAAAAUUCAAGUCUGGCAGCUGUUGAGAAUCCUCAGGUUCUGAGUCUGGUUUCUCUGCCAAUUCUUGUUGCUGUGGCUCACUAGCAGGGAGAAGAUUGCAAAGCCCCAGGACAGCCAGAGAGAAAGCCCAGUCCUAAAUCGCCACCAAAUGAACUGGUGGCAACUGUAACUGGACCUCUCCCGAAGAUUGUAACAGGUGGCAGAGUUCAUGACAAAGGAGGUUCUCUGUCAAAUAGUCUGGACCCAAGCCAUUAAGGGCUUUAUAGAUAGAUUUUUGCAAAAUUGAAAAAUUGGAUCAGAAGAGGUAUGAAGGAUAUCAAGGCCAAAUUUCCUGCAUUGAUAGACAACCCCUGAACAAAUCAACCUAUUUACUGCAAAUGAUUAAAGAUACAAGUAUGUGUUUUUGCAACAAAGAUUGUGAGCAUUGUACAUUAAUAAGCUUGGGACCUCACAGAACCCUUCAGGAUCACCAAAAAGUUCAUAAUAAUUAUCUGAGGCCCCAACUCAAAUUGCAUUCACUGGCAGCAUGGGAAUGUCUGCAAUAGGGCUUCUGGCCCUACCAUGAAGAUGACAUGAGACUCCGUCAUCCUCCCCACAUCAGAACCACCCCUCUCCCUCUCAGAAAUGUGAGCGACACUGGUAUGGAGAAGAAUCACAGUGUGAGUUGCAGCAACAUGGCCUGAGAUGUCUCACUCCCCUUGAAAACAGGAAGUUCAUCCCAGAGGGAAAGCUACUUAAUAGUCAACAUAUGUCAUGUAAUGGUCAAGGUAUUUACAUUAAAGGUCAUCCUUUUUUUUUUUCUGCA